AAUGUUACAGUCGGCACCAUUUUGAAAGAAAUCAGGGAAAGACAAAUAGAUUAUUAUGGUGGAAGAUCAAGUCUUCAUAAAUUGUUAAAGAAGAUGGGAUUUUCAUGGACAACUGUUGAUGGACGAAAAGCUUUGAUAGAGAAUGAAAACAUAGUAUUGCAGCGAAUAGAUUUCUUGAGAAAGUAUAAAGAAGAAAAAGAAAGAGGUGCCAAUUUCAUAUUUGUUGAUGAAACAUGGAUUUUCCAGAGAGGCAAGGCAUUAAUUUAUUUGAAAAUUUGUUCUGUGGUCCAAUACAAAGUAUUUCAUUUCCAUUUCAUAUAUUUUUCAGGAACUGUAUCAAAGUCAUGGCAGGACAAGAGUCUACAAUCUGCGAAGAGACGUACUGUUGGAGAUGGUAAAAGGUUUAUUGUUGUUAAUGCUGGAGGGCGCACUGGCUUUGUGCCAGGAGCAGGAUUACUUUUUGUUUCAGGUCAGAAGACUGCAGACUACCAUGGCGAGAUGAAUGGGGAAACUUUCUUGAUGUGGUUUGAAGACAUGUUGGUGCAUCUUGAGGAACCCAGUGUCAUCAUAAUGGACAAUGCUUCAUAUCACAGCACCCAGGUUGAGAAAACACCUACAACGAACUGGACCAAGGAUGCACUGAUCGCGUGGCUGGAGAAGAAUGAGAUAAAACAUGAAAAUAAUUUGUUGAAAGUGGAGCUGCUGAGAAUAGCUAAACAAAACAAGCCCCGAAUACGAUGGGCGAGGUGUGUGGAUCACGUGGAGAAGUUAAUUCAAGCAGACUGGGAGAGAGAAGUCCACAUAGACAGCGGCACCAUUCCUCCACUCAUCAUCCACCUCGGCAAGGAUAGUUCAAGUGAAGACAGUGACAGCGAAGAAUUUGAGGUUACGACACAGCAAGUAGAUGGAGACAGUGAAGUACUGGCAGUUCCUCUUGAUGAUUUACCCGGGUGUUCUUAUUGAGGUCUGUAUGUAAUAAACACCUGGGCAACUGUAAGUAUUGGGGUUUGAAACAUUUUUUUUUUCUUUUAUGCAUUCCCAUUAAGUAUGUUGAUUACUGGAACUUUAUGUAUUAACUUUAUAUUACACAUAUUAUGAAAUUAAUAAUAAAUUUCAUUUCUGGAUUCGUAUAGGUGUAUGUGAAACAUUUUAUUUUGUUGUGUGUCUUCAUUUUUCAGUGAACUUACUUGGAAAACAAAAAGCGAGUCCCCAUCCAGGGCCACAAAUAAAUAAUGCAUAUAAGUGGUAUAGAAAUUACUGUCAAUUCUUUACCACAAUUUUACUGUUCAUAAAAUUAUGAUUUUGUCUAAUAAGUAUACUCAGGAAAAUGUAUACAACCAUAUUUUUAUUUGUGGCCUUAACCUGCAAAAUGGUAGGGGUUUAUUAAAUAAAAGAAGAAAAUUCAUUUUUAAAUGUUUUCAUCUGAAUUUGUUAAUUUUAUUAAACCUUCAAUCCUUAGUCUUUUCCAGAUUGCUUAGAUGGA
Molecule: long non-coding RNA, 1483 nt
Organism: Bacillus rossius redtenbacheri
Lineage: Eukaryota; Metazoa; Arthropoda; Insecta; Phasmatodea; Bacillidae
Exons: 3
Source: RefSeq, a predicted model, not a curated record